This 359-nucleotide ribosomal RNA is filed under the name uncultured Desulfobulbus sp. RNAcentral's name for it is "bacterial SSU rRNA". It matches the Rfam family "Bacterial small subunit ribosomal RNA", at positions 1023 to 1382 of the family's 1533-position model. The record is from RNAcentral. Lineage: Bacteria; Pseudomonadati; Thermodesulfobacteriota; Desulfobulbia; Desulfobulbales; Desulfobulbaceae.
GGAAUCUGGAGACAGGUGCUGCAUGGCUGUCGUCAGCUCGUGUCGUGAGAUGUUGGGUUAAGUCCCGCAACGAGCGCAACCCUUGCCUUUAGUUGCCAGCAGUUCGGCUGGGCACUCUAAAGGGACUGCCGGUGUUAAACCGGAGGAAGGUGGGGAUGACGUCAAGUCCUCAUGGCCUUUAUGACCAGGGCUACACACGUACUACAAUGGCCGAUACAAAGGGCAGCGACACUGCGAGGUGAAGCCAAUCCCGUAAAAUCGGUCUCAGUCCGGAUUGGAGUCUGCAACUCGACUCCAUGAAGUUGGAAUCGCUAGUAAUCGUGGAUCAGCAUGCCACGGUGAAUACGUUCCCGGGCCUU